Molecule: long non-coding RNA, 568 nt
Organism: Drosophila ficusphila
Lineage: Eukaryota; Metazoa; Arthropoda; Insecta; Diptera; Drosophilidae
Exons: 3
Source: RefSeq, a predicted model, not a curated record
AUUAGUUACAAAUCCUUCUUAACAAAAUUUAUAAGUGUGUUUUAAAAUAAUAUUUAUCAACUUUUUUGAGGUGAAAAAGUUUAAUCUGAUUCCUGAAAGUCAGAAAAGGCCAUUGCCAUUGGCAAUGUCCUACAAGCGAUUUAGUACCGCUUGAGCGGACAAUGGAGUCGAAGCCAAGUCCGCGAUGAAUUUGGCUGUUUUGCCUAAUUUGUGCCACACUCCUGUCAGGACUGCUAUGAUGAUGAUGAUUAUGGCGAUGAAAGCUGCAGGGUCAGCAGGUCAUUUGAAAAAGAAAUGUUUGAUGCCUUUGUUUAUGGACCUGACACACUUUGGGCUGCUCAGUCUUGAUUUUAUUCCGAUUUUUAGUGAACAUUUUAAUUUAAAGUUUAAAGUUAAAUGUGAUUACAACAUAUUUAAAGUUCUUUUGUGUUGGCCAUCCUACCGCAAUUGUCUGCUUUUUACCCACCGUUUUCAAACUACCCCCCACCGAACAUCCUUUUGGCAUCCUGUGGAGUUGCCACGCCCUCUUCCUGUCACUGCCUCAAGCACUUAGGAAGCACGUAGUCAC